This 736-nucleotide ribosomal RNA is filed under the name uncultured Staphylococcus sp. RNAcentral's name for it is "bacterial SSU rRNA". It matches the Rfam family "Bacterial small subunit ribosomal RNA", at positions 129 to 851 of the family's 1533-position model. Lineage: Bacteria; Bacillati; Bacillota; Bacilli; Caryophanales; Staphylococcaceae. The record is from RNAcentral.
CCUAUAAGACUGGGAUAACUUCGGGAAACCGGAGCUAAUACCGGAUAACAUUUAGAACCGCAUGGUUCUAAAGUGAAAGAUGGUUUUGCUAUCACUUAUAGAUGGACCCGCGCCGUAUUAGCUAGUUGGUAAGGUAACGGCUUACCAAGGCGACGAUACGUAGCCGACCUGAGAGGGUGAUCGGCCACACUGGAACUGAGACACGGUCCAGACUCCUACGGGAGGCAGCAGUAGGGAAUCUUCCGCAAUGGGCGAAAGCCUGACGGAGCAACGCCGCGUGAGUGAUGAAGGGUUUCGGCUCGUAAAACUCUGUUAUUAGGGAAGAACAAAUGUGUAAGUAACUGUGCACAUCUUGACGGUACCUAAUCAGAAAGCCACGGCUAACUACGUGCCAGCAGCCGCGGUAAUACGUAGGUGGCAAGCGUUAUCCGGAAUUAUUGGGCGUAAAGCGCGCGUAGGCGGUUUCUUAAGUCUGAUGUGAAAGCCCACGGCUCAACCGUGGAGGGUCAUUGGAAACUGGGAAACUUGAGUGCAGAAGAGGAAAGUGGAAUUCCAUGUGUAGCGGUGAAAUGCGCAGAGAUAUGGAGGAACACCAGUGGCGAAGGCGCCUUUCUGGUCUGUAACUAACGCUGAUGUGCGAAAGCGUGGGGAUCAAACAGGAUUAGAUACCCUGGUAGUCCACGCCGUAAACGAUGAGUGCUAAGUGUUAGGGGGUUUCCGCCCCUUAGUGCUGCAG